AGCUUUGCACGGUGGCAGUAUCGUAACCAUUGAGGUUUAUCUGAGGCGCGAUUAUUGCUAGGAAAAAUAAAAAGAGGAAAAGAGGUUCUUUUUUAUUUUCUUUGAUUCAUCUCUUGCAGACUGAAAUAGAUGAUAUCUUUGAUGACUUUUCUCAUUUGGAAAUAAG
Molecule: small nuclear RNA, 166 nt
Filed under: Myotis brandtii (Brandt's bat)
Lineage: Eukaryota; Metazoa; Chordata; Mammalia; Chiroptera; Vespertilionidae
Description: U4 spliceosomal RNA
Rfam family: U4 spliceosomal RNA (bases 1-133)
About the family: U4 small nuclear RNA (U4 snRNA) is a component of the major U2-dependent spliceosome. The structure of U4 snRNA from yeast and human has been reported.
Source: Rfam by way of RNAcentral